RNAcentral lists this ribosomal RNA (497 nucleotides) under uncultured bacterium. RNAcentral describes it as "partial 16S ribosomal RNA". It matches the Rfam family "Bacterial small subunit ribosomal RNA", at positions 28 to 507 of the family's 1533-position model. The record is from RNAcentral.
GAUGAACGCUGGCGGCGUGCCUAAUACAUGCAAGUCGAGCGAACAGACGAGGAGCUUGCUCCUCUGACGUUAGCGGCGGACGGGUGAGUAACACGUGUAUAACCUACCUAUAAGACUGGGAUAACUUCGGGAAACCGGAGCUAAUACCGGAUAAUAUAUUGCACCGCAGGGUUCAAUAGUGAAAUACGGUUUUUCUGUCACUUAUAGAUGGAUCCGCGCCGCAUUAGCUAGUUGGUAAGGUAACGGCUUAUCAAGGCAACGAUGCGUAGCCGACCUGAGAGAGUGAUCGGCCACCCUGGAACUGAGACACGGUCCAGACUCCUACGGGAGGCAGCAGUAGGGAAUCUUACGCAAUGGGCGAAAGCCUGACGGAGCAACGCCGCGUGAGUGAUGAAGGUCUUCGGAUCGUAAAACUCUGUUAUUAGGGAAGAACAAAUGUGUAAGUAACUAUGCACGUCUUGACGGUACCUAAUCAGAAAGCCACGGCUAACUACGUG